Molecule: ribosomal RNA, 629 nt
Filed under: uncultured bacterium
Lineage: Bacteria
Description: bacterial SSU rRNA
Rfam family: Bacterial small subunit ribosomal RNA
Source: RNAcentral
AAUUGACGGGGACCCGCACAACGGUGGAGCAUGUGGUUUAAUUCGAAGCAACGCGAAGAACCUUACCAGGUCUUGACAUCCCACUGACCGGUGUAGAGAUACGCCUUUCCCUUCGGGGACAGUGGUGACAGGUGGUGCAUGGUUGUCGUCAGCUCGUGUCGUGAGAUGUUGGGUUAAGUCCCGCAACGAGCGCAACCCUUUUCCUUAGUUACCAGCGGGUUAAGCCGGGAACUCUAAGGAUACUGCCAGUGACAAACUGGAGGAAGGCGGGGACGACGUCAAGUCAUCAUGGCCCUUACGACCAGGGCUACACACGUGCUACAAUGGUAGGUACAGAGGGCAGCUACACAGCGAUGUGAUGCGAAUCUCAAAAAGCCUAUCGUAGUCCAGAUUGGAGUCUGCAACUCGACUCCAUGAAGUAGGAAUCGCUAGUAAUCGCGGAUCAGAAUGCCGCGGUGAAUACGUUCCCGGGCCUUGUACACACCGCCCGUCACACCAUGGGAGUUGAUUGCACCAGAAGUGGAUAGCCCUAANCCGUAAGGAAGGCGUUCACCACGGUGUGGUUGAUGACUGGGGUGAAGUCGUAACAAGGUAGCCGUAGGGGAACCUGCGGCUGGAUCACCUCCUUA